CUACGGGAUGCACCAGUGGGGAAUAUUGGACAAUGGGGGAAACCCUGAUCCAGCAAUGCCGCGUGUGUGAAGAAGGCCUGCGGGUUGUAAAGCACUUUCGGUUGGGAGGACUGCUUCUAGCACUAAUAUUGUUGGAAGUUGACGUUACCUUCAGAAGAAGCACCGGCUAACUCCGUGCCAGCAGCCGCGGUAAUACGGAGGGUGCAAGCGUGAAUCGGAAUUACUGGGCGUAAAGCGCGCGUAGGCGGCUAGAUCAGUCGGGUGUGAAAGCCCCGGGCUUAACCUGGGAACUGCAUCCGAUACUGUCUAGCUUGAGUACAGGAGAGGAGAGUGGAAUUCCAGAUGUAGCGGUGAAAUGCGUAGAUAUGUGGAGGAACACCAAUGGCGAAGGCAGCUCUCUGGCCUGAUACUGACGCUGAGGUGCGAAAGCGUGGGGAGCAAACAGGAUUAGAUACCCUUGUAGUC
RNAcentral lists this ribosomal RNA (465 nucleotides) under uncultured bacterium. RNAcentral describes it as "partial 16S ribosomal RNA". It matches the Rfam family "Bacterial small subunit ribosomal RNA", at positions 339 to 795 of the family's 1533-position model. The record is from RNAcentral.